RNAcentral lists this ribosomal RNA (767 nucleotides) under uncultured Russula. Its description in RNAcentral is "partial 28S ribosomal RNA". It matches the Rfam family "Eukaryotic large subunit ribosomal RNA", at positions 216 to 962 of the family's 3401-position model. Lineage: Eukaryota; Fungi; Basidiomycota; Agaricomycetes; Russulales; Russulaceae. The record is from RNAcentral.
GAAUCCCGUCUUUGGCACGGACACACCAGGGCUUUUGUGAUGCGCUCUCGAAGAGUCGAGUUGUUUGGGAAUGCAGCUCAAAAUGGGUGGUGAACUCCAUCUAAAGCUAAAUAUUGGCGAGAGACCGAUAGCGAACAAGUACCGUGAGGGAAAGAUGAAAAGCACUUUGGAAAGAGAGUGAAACAGUACGUGAAAUUGUUGAAAGGGAAACGCUUGAAGUCAGUCGCGUCGACCGAGACUCAGCCUUGCCCUUGGCUUGGUGUACUUCUCGGCUGACGGGUCAGCACCAAUUUUGCCCCUUGGAUAAUGGCGAGGGAAAUGUGACACCUUUACGGUGUGUUAUAGUCUCUUGUCGCAUGCAAGGGUUGGGAUUGAGGAACUCAGCACGCACCUUUGGGUGUCGGGGCUUUGCCCACGAUACGUGCUUAGGAUGUUGGCGUAAUGGCUUUAAACGACCCGUCUUGAAACACGGACCAAGGAGUCUAACAUGCCUGCGAGUGUUCGGGUGGAAAACUCGUGCGCGCAAUGAAAGUGAAAGUUGGGACCUCUGUCGUGGAGGGCACCGACGCCCGGACCAGACCUUCUGUGACGGCUCUGCGGUAAAGCAUGUAUGUUAGGACCCGAAAGAUGGUGAACUAUGCCUGAAUAGGGUGAAGCCAGAGGAAACUCUGGUGGAGGCUCGUAGCGAUUCUGACGUGCAAAUCGAUCGUCAAAUUUGGGUAUAGGGGCGAAAGACUAAUCGAACCAUCUAGUAGCUGGUUCCUGCC